Molecule: ribosomal RNA, 468 nt
Filed under: uncultured bacterium
Lineage: Bacteria
Description: partial 16S ribosomal RNA
Rfam family: Bacterial small subunit ribosomal RNA
Source: RNAcentral
GACGAACGCUGGCGGCGUGCUUAACACAUGCAAGUCGAACGGAAAGGCCCUGCUUUUGUGGGGUGCUCGAGUGGCGAACGGGUGAGUAACACGUGAGUAACCUGCCCUUGACUUUGGGAUAACUUCAGGAAACUGGGGCUAAUACCGGAUAGGAGCUCCUGCUGCAUGGUGGGGGUUGGAAAGUUUCGGCGGUUGGGGAUGGACUCGCGGCUUAUCAGCUUGUUGGUGGGGUAGUGGCUUACCAAGGCUUUGACGGGUAGCCGGCCUGAGAGGGUGACCGGCCACAUUGGGACCGAGAUACGGCCCAGACUCCUACGGGAGGCAGCAGUGGGGAAUAUUGCACAAUGGGCGGAAGCCUGAUGCAGCAACGCCGCGUGCGGGAUGACGGCCCUCGGGUUGUAAACCGCUUUCGCCUGUGACGAAGCGUGAGUGACGGUAAUGGGUAAAGAAGCACCGGCUAACUACGUG